Molecule: ribosomal RNA, 394 nt
Filed under: Meyerozyma caribbica
Lineage: Eukaryota; Fungi; Ascomycota; Pichiomycetes; Serinales; Debaryomycetaceae
Description: eukaryotic LSU rRNA
Rfam family: Eukaryotic large subunit ribosomal RNA
Source: RNAcentral
CGGCGAGUGAAGCGGCAAAAGCUCAAAUUUGAAAUCUGGCACCUUCGGUGUCCGAGUUGUAAUUUGAAGAUUGUAACCUUGGGGUUGGCUCUUGCCUAUGUUUCUUGGAACAGGGACGUCACAAAAGGUGAGAAUCCCGUGCGAUGAGAUGCCCAAUCCUAUGUAAGGUGCUUUCGAAGAGUCGAGUUGUUUGGGAAUGCAGCUCUAAGUGGGUGGUAAAUUCCAUCUAAAGCUAAAUAUUGGCGAGAGACCGAUAGCGAACAAGUACAGUGAUGGUAAGAUGAAAAGAACUUUGAAAAGAGAGUGAAAAAGUACGUGAAAUUGUUGAAAGGGAAGGGUUUGAGAUCAGACUCGAUAUUUUGUGAGCCUUGCCUUCGUGGCGGGGUGACCCGCA